CCUACGGGAGGCAGCAGUGGGGAAUAUUGGACAAUGGGGGAAACCCUGAUCCAGCGACGCCGCGUGAGUGAAGAAGUAUCUCGGUAUGUAAAGCUCUAUCAGCAGGGAAGAUGAUGACGGUACCUGACUAAGAAGCACCGGCUAAAUACGUGCCAGCAGCCGCGGUAAU
Molecule: ribosomal RNA, 169 nt
Filed under: uncultured bacterium
Lineage: Bacteria
Description: partial 16S ribosomal RNA
Rfam family: Bacterial small subunit ribosomal RNA
Source: RNAcentral